UACGUAGGGUGCAAGCGUUGUCCGGAAUUAUUGGGCGUAAAGAGCUCGUAGGCGGUCUGUUGCGUCGGCUGUGAAAACCCGAGGCUCAACCUCGGGCCUGCAGCCGAUACGGGCAGACUAGAGUUCGGCAGGGGAGACUGGAAUUCCUGGUGUAGCGGUGAAAUGCGCAGAUAUCAGGAGGAACACCGGUGGCGAAGGCGGGUCUCUGGGCCGAUACUGACGCUCAGACACGACAGCAUGGGGAGCGAACGGG
Molecule: ribosomal RNA, 253 nt
Filed under: uncultured bacterium
Lineage: Bacteria
Description: partial 16S ribosomal RNA
Rfam family: Bacterial small subunit ribosomal RNA
Source: RNAcentral